Unclassified non-coding RNA from Callithrix jacchus (white-tufted-ear marmoset), 116 nucleotides. It matches the Rfam family "Metazoan signal recognition particle RNA". Rfam says of the family: The signal recognition particle (SRP) is a universally conserved ribonucleoprotein. It is involved in the co-translational targeting of proteins to membranes. The record is from Ensembl. NCBI's taxonomy places the organism in Eukaryota, Metazoa, Chordata, Mammalia, Primates, Cebidae.
GCCGGGCGUGGUGGCUCAUGCCUGUAAUCCAAGCAGUUUGGAGGCCAAGGCAGGCGGAUCACCUGAGGUCGGGAGUUCAAGACCAGCCUGACCAACAUGGUAAAACCCUGUCUUUA